This 71-nucleotide transfer RNA is filed under the name Loxodonta africana (African savanna elephant). It matches the Rfam family "tRNA". From Rfam's summary of the family: Transfer RNA (tRNA) molecules are approximately 80 nucleotides in length. The record is from Rfam by way of RNAcentral. Lineage: Eukaryota; Metazoa; Chordata; Mammalia; Proboscidea; Elephantidae.
GCAGUGGUUGUUCAGUGGUAGGGUUUUUGCCUUCCAUGUGGAAGACCCGGGUUUGAUUCCCAGCCAAGGCA